CACCAGGGAGGAUAACGUUGCGUAAGCAACGGCCCGAAGGGCGAGGCGCAGCCGAGUAAUCCUUCCGGAUGCACCU
RNAcentral lists this small RNA (76 nucleotides) under Klebsiella aerogenes. Its description in RNAcentral is "partial RtT sRNA". It matches the Rfam family "RtT RNA", at positions 51 to 130 of the family's 130-position model. From Rfam's summary of the family: This family represents a bacterial cis-regulatory element known as RtT RNA. The exact function of RtT is unknown although it is thought that it may be involved in changing the cellular response in relation to amino acid starvation. Lineage: Bacteria; Pseudomonadati; Pseudomonadota; Gammaproteobacteria; Enterobacterales; Enterobacteriaceae. The record is from RNAcentral.